This 490-nucleotide ribosomal RNA is filed under the name uncultured bacterium. Its description in RNAcentral is "partial 16S ribosomal RNA". It matches the Rfam family "Bacterial small subunit ribosomal RNA", at positions 30 to 507 of the family's 1533-position model. The record is from RNAcentral.
AUUGAACGCUGGCGGCAUGCUUUACACAUGCAAGUCGGACGGCAGCACAGAGAAGCUUGCUUCUUGGGUGGCGAGUGGCGAACGGGUGAGUAACAUAUCGGAACGUACCGAGCAGUGGGGGAUAACUAAUCGAAAGAUUAGCUAAUACCGCAUAUUUUCUGAGGAAGAAAGCAGGGGACCUUUGGGCCUUGCGCUGUUUGAGCGGCCGAUAUCUGAUUAGCUAGUUGGUGGGGUAAAGGCCUACCAAGGCGACGAUCAGUAGCGGGUCUGAGAGGAUGAUCCGCCACACUGGGACUGAGACACGGCCCAGACUCCUACGGGAGGCAGCAGUGGGGAAUUUUGGACAAUGGGAGCAAGCCUGAUCCAGCCAUGCCGCGUGUCUGAAGAAGGCCUUCGGGUUGUAAAGGACUUUUGUCAGGGAAGAAAAGGGCGGGGUUAAUACCCCUGUCUGAUGACGGUACCUGAAGAAUAAGCACCGGCUAACUACGUG